This 492-nucleotide ribosomal RNA is filed under the name uncultured bacterium. Its description in RNAcentral is "partial 16S ribosomal RNA". It matches the Rfam family "Bacterial small subunit ribosomal RNA", at positions 29 to 507 of the family's 1533-position model. The record is from RNAcentral.
AGUGAACGCUGGCGGUAGGCCUAACACAUGCAAGUCGAACGGCAGCACAGUAAGAGCUUGCUCUUACGGGUGGCGAGUGGCGGACGGGUGAGGAAUACACCGGAAUCUACUUUUUCGUGGGGGAUAACGUAGGGAAACUUACGCUAAUACCGCAUACGACCUACGGGUGAAAGCAGGGGAUCUUCGGACCUUGCGCGAUUGAAUGAGCCGAUGUCGGCUUGGCUGGUUGGCGGGCUAAAGGCCAACCAAGGCGACGAUCGGUAGCUGGUCUGAGAGGAUGAUCACCCACGCUGGAACUGGAGCACGGUCCAGACUCCUGCGAGAGGCAGAAGUGGGGAAUAUUGGACAAUGGGCGCAAGCCUGAUCCAGCCAUACCGCGUGGGUGAAGAAGGCCUUCGGGUUGUAAAGCCCUUUUGUUGGGAAAGAAAAGCAGCAGGUUAAUACCCCGCUGUUCUGACGGUACCCAAAGGAUAAGCACCGGCUAACUUCGUG